Molecule: transfer RNA, 71 nt
Organism: Neurospora tetrasperma FGSC 2509
Lineage: Eukaryota; Fungi; Ascomycota; Sordariomycetes; Sordariales; Sordariaceae
Rfam family: tRNA
About the family: Transfer RNA (tRNA) molecules are approximately 80 nucleotides in length. Their secondary structure includes four short double-helical elements and three loops (D, anti-codon, and T loops). Further hydrogen bonds mediate the characteristic L-shaped molecular structure. tRNAs have two regions of fundamental functional importance: the anti-codon, which is responsible for specific mRNA codon recognition, and the 3' end, to which the tRNAs corresponding amino acid is attached (by aminoacyl-tRNA synthetases). tRNAs cope with the degeneracy of the genetic code in two manners: having more than one tRNA (with a specific anti-codon) for a particular amino acid; and 'wobble' base-pairing, i.e. permitting non-standard base-pairing at the 3rd anti-codon position.
Source: Rfam
AGCUGAUAGGCGCAACGGUAGCGCGCGAGGUUAGAGACCUCGAGGAGCAGGUUCAACUCCUGCAUCAGCAA